RNAcentral lists this transfer RNA (78 nucleotides) under Labrenzia sp. EL_126. Its description in RNAcentral is "tRNA-Phe". Lineage: Bacteria; Pseudomonadati; Pseudomonadota; Alphaproteobacteria; Hyphomicrobiales; Stappiaceae. The record is from RNAcentral.
ACAUUAAUUUGCGCGUUGCGCUUGAAAACCGCCGUGCGUGAGAGCGUACCGUGGGUUCGAAUCCCACCCUCACCGCCA